GGAAGUGNNCCCGAAAGAUAAGGACCUCCUUGAUAGGGAGGACAAUAGNGGUUCAAACCCCCUCGCUUCCU
Molecule: transfer RNA, 71 nt
Filed under: Tepuihyla tuberculosa
Lineage: Eukaryota; Metazoa; Chordata; Amphibia; Anura; Hylidae
Description: tRNA-Ile
Rfam family: tRNA
About the family: Transfer RNA (tRNA) molecules are approximately 80 nucleotides in length.
Source: RNAcentral